Long non-coding RNA from Spinacia oleracea (spinach), 685 nucleotides. RefSeq lists it as uncharacterized. The transcript has 2 exons. The record is from RefSeq and is a predicted model, not a curated record. Lineage: Eukaryota; Viridiplantae; Streptophyta; Magnoliopsida; Caryophyllales; Amaranthaceae.
UAGUGUUCACGUGACUGAAUGAAAUUUUACGAAAAUACCCCCUUGCUAUCUAUAAAAUACACAGUGAUCAUGUGCUUCCAUUUCAUAGGCAUACAUACUCAAAGCUCAUAUAGAGAUAUUGGAGCACGAAAUUAUAGAUUGUAGGUGAUCAAAAGCAAGGAAAAAUGUCGGCUGGAAUCUAUGUGACCGCUGCAUUCAAAUCAAUUCAUCAGAAUCAAGGCGCGACAAGUGAUGUACUGAAGUGGUCCGGAAAAAUCAAAGACUCGUGGACGGGUUUAGCUAGCAUCUUGCCUCGCAAGAAUUACGGUUGCAACCGCAAAUUGCAACUCAAUAAUUGAUUAAUUAUAUGAUAUGCAUUAUGCUCUUUGCUAAUCUGUUUACAAAGGGCAUAACAUAUAUAUGGGAUGUUUUAUGUUAUAUGGGAAUAAUUGAGGAUGUAUAUAAAUUAGCAUAAGGUUGCAGCCAAUGAGUUGGCCCGGCCGUGCGCAUCCUCUCUUAGCCACUGUAUUAUCCUAUACAUGGUUGGCCAGUAUAUCAGGGAUGUUUGCUUAGUUGUGGAGUGUAGACAGCUUGCUAGUUGCUAGUGUCUUUGUACGCUAUUAGCUAAGCCAACCCCUUGUAAUAGUAUUUGUACUGUAUAAUGUCAUUUUCCUCCGUUCCUAAUUGUUUGUCCCAUACACCAAAA